RNAcentral lists this small RNA (78 nucleotides) under Klebsiella pneumoniae. Its description in RNAcentral is "isrK Hfq binding RNA". It matches the Rfam family "isrK Hfq binding RNA". The record is from RNAcentral. Lineage: Bacteria; Pseudomonadati; Pseudomonadota; Gammaproteobacteria; Enterobacterales; Enterobacteriaceae.
GCACCAGCAAAAUCUGGUGCCGGGAUUGGCGUCCUGGUAAUUCGAAUGGCGACACAUGACGCGCCUAGCGUCUUUUUU